Caldisalinibacter kiritimatiensis is the source of this 82-nucleotide small RNA. It matches the Rfam family "Clostridiales-2 RNA". The record is from Rfam. Lineage: Bacteria; Bacillati; Bacillota; Tissierellia; Tissierellales; Thermohalobacteraceae.
AAAAAAUAGGGGUUGUAGGGGACAGGGUCCCCUGCCGUUUUAAGAGGGGUGUUCAGGAUGUUAAACAUCCGCCGAAGGGGAA